AUUAUCUAUGACAAAGGAUACCAGAAAGUAGAUCCCUUUGCGGGAACACCGUUGGUGAAGGUGAAAGGCGUUGCAAAGACGAGACGCUCUGGGAAAGUAUAUGACGCAGUCGACCUCGUCAAACCUGCCCUGGAA
RNAcentral lists this non-coding RNA (135 nucleotides) under Aplanochytrium stocchinoi. The record is from RNAcentral. Lineage: Eukaryota; Bigyra; Thraustochytrida; Thraustochytriidae.